This 582-nucleotide ribosomal RNA is filed under the name uncultured fungus. Its description in RNAcentral is "SSU rRNA". It matches the Rfam family "Eukaryotic small subunit ribosomal RNA", at positions 83 to 668 of the family's 1831-position model. The record is from RNAcentral. Lineage: Eukaryota; Fungi.
GAAACUGCGAAUGGCUCAUUAAAUCAGUUAUCGUUUAUUUGAUAGUACCUUACUACUUGGAUAACCGUGGUAAUUCUAGAGCUAAUACAUGCUAAAAACCCCGACUUCGGAAGGGGUGUAUUUAUUAGAUAAAAAACCAAUGCCCUUCGGGGCUCCUUGGUGAUUCAUAAUAACUUAACGAAUCGCAUGGCCUUGUGCCGGCGAUGGUUCAUUCAAAUUUCUGCCCUAUCAACUUUCGAUGGUAGGAUAGUGGCCUACCAUGGUUUCAACGGGUAACGGGGAAUUAGGGUUCUAUUCCGGAGAGGGAGCCUGAGAAACGGCUACCACAUCCAAGGAAGGCAGCAGGCGCGCAAAUUACCCAAUCCCGACACGGGGAGGUAGUGACAAUAAAUACUGAUACAGGGCUCUUUUGGGUCUUGUAAUUGGAAUGAGUACAAUUUAAAUCCCUUAACGAGGAACAAUUGGAGGGCAAGUCUGGUGCCAGCAGCCGCGGUAAUUCCAGCUCCAAUAGCGUAUAUUAAAGUUGUUGCAGUUAAAAAGCUCGUAGUUGAACCUUGGGCCUGGCUGACCGGUCCGCCUCAC